RNAcentral lists this ribosomal RNA (401 nucleotides) under uncultured bacterium. RNAcentral describes it as "bacterial SSU rRNA". It matches the Rfam family "Bacterial small subunit ribosomal RNA", at positions 32 to 422 of the family's 1533-position model. The record is from RNAcentral.
AAUCAACGCUGGCGGCGUGCCUCAGACAUGCAAGUCGUACGAUUAAAGCUCUCUUCGGAGAGUGUAUAGAGUGGCGCACGGGUGAGUAACACGUAAGUAAUCUACCUUCGAGUGGGGAAUAACAGUCGGAAACGACUGCUAAUACCGCAUAAUGCAGCGGCACCUAAUGGUGACAGUUGUUAAAGCAUUUAUGUGCUUGAAGAGGAGCUUGCGGCAGAUUAGCUAGUUGGUAAGGUAAUGGCUUACCAAGGCAACGAUCUGUAGCCGACCUGAGAGGGUGGUCGGUCACACUGACACUGAAUAACGGGUCAGACUCCUACGGGAGGCAGCAGUCGGGAAUUUUGGGCGAAUGGGCGAAAGCCUGACCCAGCAACGCCGCGUGAAGGAUGAAGUAUUUCGGU